CACGUGGGUAACCUGCCCAAGAGAUCGGGAUAACACCUGGAAACAGAUGCUAAUACCGGAUAACAACAGAUGAUGCCUAUCAACUGUUUAAAAGAUGGUUCUGCUAUCACUCUUGGAUGGACCUGCGGUGCAUUAGCUAGUUGGUAGGGUAACGGCCUACCAAGGCGAUGAUGCAUAGCCGAGUUGAGAGACUUAUCGGCCACAUUGGGACUGAGGCACGGCCCAAACUCCUACGGGAGGCAGCAGUA
RNAcentral lists this ribosomal RNA (248 nucleotides) under uncultured Lactobacillus sp. Its description in RNAcentral is "partial 16S ribosomal RNA". It matches the Rfam family "Bacterial small subunit ribosomal RNA", at positions 114 to 355 of the family's 1533-position model. The record is from RNAcentral. Lineage: Bacteria; Bacillati; Bacillota; Bacilli; Lactobacillales; Lactobacillaceae.